UAGGAAUAUUGGACAAUGGGGGAAACCCUGAUCCAGCCAUGCCGCGUGUGUGAAGAAGGCCUUAGGGUUGUAAAGCACUUUCGUCCGCGAAGAUAAUGACAGUAACGGAAGAAGAAGCUCCGGCUAAAUUCGUGCCAGCAGCCGCGGUAAUACGAAUGGAGCGAGCGUUGUUCGGAAUCACUGGGCGUAAAGCGUGCGCAGGCGGUUUUGAAAGUUAGAAGUGAAAGCCCAGGGCUUAACCUUGGAAUUGCUUUUAAAACUUCAAGACUAGAGUACUGGAGAGGUUAGCGGAAUUCCGAGUGUAGAGGUGAAAUUCGCAGAUAUUCGGAGGAACACCAAUGGCGUAGGCAGCUAACUGGACAGUAACUGACGCUCAUGCACGAAAGCGUGGGGAUCAAAC
This 400-nucleotide ribosomal RNA is filed under the name uncultured bacterium. RNAcentral's name for it is "bacterial SSU rRNA". It matches the Rfam family "Bacterial small subunit ribosomal RNA", at positions 356 to 773 of the family's 1533-position model. The record is from RNAcentral.